AGAGUUUGAUCCUGGCUCAGGAUGAACGCUAGCUACAGGCUUAACACAUGCAAGUCGAGGGGCAGCACGGUCUUAGCUUGCUAAGGCCGAUGGCGACCGGCGCACGGGUGAGUAACGCGUAUCCAACCUGCCUUACACUCUUGGACAGCCUUCUGAAAGGGAGAUUAAUACAAGAUGUUAUCAUGAGUAAGCAUUUUCGCAUGAUUAAAGGUUACCGGUGUAAGAUGGGGAUGCGUUCCAUUAGAUAGUAGGCGGGGUAACGGCCGACCUAGUCUUCGAUGGAUAGGGGUUCUGAGAGGAGGUCCCCACAUUGGAACUGAGACACGGUCAACUCCUACGGGAGGCA
Molecule: ribosomal RNA, 346 nt
Filed under: uncultured bacterium
Lineage: Bacteria
Description: bacterial SSU rRNA
Rfam family: Bacterial small subunit ribosomal RNA
Source: RNAcentral